Molecule: long non-coding RNA, 658 nt
Organism: Rhineura floridana
Lineage: Eukaryota; Metazoa; Chordata; Lepidosauria; Squamata; Rhineuridae
Exons: 3
Source: RefSeq, a predicted model, not a curated record
CACCAUGCAGUGCAGACACAUUGCCAUCCUCAUCCUGGGACUUCUCGCAUCCUGGUUUGAGCCACUGGCUGCCUCUGACAGUAUAUCAGCAACUAUGCCUGAAAAAUGUCAACUCCCUCUGCUUCCAGGACCGUGUAGAGCAAUCCAUCAUCGCUAUUACUAUAACAUAAACACUAUGAGAUGUGAGGACUUUAUAUAUGGUGGCUGUUAUGGCAAUGAUAAUAACUUUGAUGAAAGGAAUGAUUGCGUUCAUGAGUGUGAAAGUUACGCUCCACGUCCAGUCCGAGACCUCUCACUAGACAUCUAAUUAAUCUGCCACUGGGUCCUCCCAUGAAGCAAAGUCACAAUGAGAAAUAAUUCUGACUCUCUUCCAGCUCUACCAGACAUUUCUGGAGGUUUCUUGCCAAUCAACUCAACUGUUCUUCAGCAAAUGGUGGAUUGUGCUUCUUGAGCAUUAUUGGCCUCAAAUCUCUUUUUCUCUCAUGUCCAUGGAACAGAACAAACUGAGCCUUCAUCGUUGGGGCCCUCCAGACUGGAGCUUUAUUUCAGGGGUAUUCUGCAAUGUGUUCUUGACAAAGCAGUAGCACAUUAGAGGUGGAUUUAUCCUGCUUUAGUUUGUUUUGAGAUGCUUCCCCAGCGCUACCACAUUAUUGUUGUC